Molecule: ribosomal RNA, 252 nt
Filed under: uncultured bacterium
Lineage: Bacteria
Description: partial 16S ribosomal RNA
Rfam family: Bacterial small subunit ribosomal RNA
Source: RNAcentral
ACGGAGGGUGCAAGCGUUAUCCGGAAUCAUUGGGUUUAAAGGGUCCGCAGGCGGACUAAUAAGUCAGUGGUGAAAGCCCAUCGCUUAACGAUGGAACUGCCAUUGAUACUGUUAGUCUUGAAUUCGGUCGAAGUGGGCGGAAUGUGUCAUGUAGCGGUGAAAUGCAUAGAUAUGACACAGAACACCGAUAGCGAAGGCAGCUCACUAGGCCUGGAUUGACGCUCAGGGACGAAAGCGUGGGGAGCGAACAGG